CUCUCAUUCUCCUCCCUCCUGCUCUCAGUGUCCUCCAUCUCUCCGUUUUCUCUCAUUUUCUUUGAUUAAGGACACUUUUAGAGACUGCUGCAGUUACUCCUUCAUCUCUUAUCCUCCUUAUUGGGAUACUAAAGAGUGAAGCAGCACAGAGCUGACCUUAUAAAGACUCUAACUGCCCAGACCACACCUCUAUCCCUGGAAGUCCAUGGAAGCCAAGGCCAAGACCGGGGCCCCAGCGCCCAAGGCAGCAUCAAAAGCAGAGAAGAAGGAGCCGGCAGCACCACGCAAAGCUGACCCUACCCCUGCAGCCCCCGAACCUGAGUAUCCUCCUCCCCAGGAUGGGGCGGCCGAAGCUGAAGCAACAGCAGGUGACGAGGCUGCGGCGUGCGGCACAGACUCUCUGGAACACCUGAAACCCUUUCUCAUCGGGGGUGCUGUUAUUGCUGCAGGAGCCGUCUUGCUGGGAGUGUUGCUACUGGCAAGGAGAAAUUAAAACCAAAUCAUUGUGUCAAAUUGAAAUAUUUAUUGUAUGAUGACAUAGGGUGUCAUUGUUGAGUGGUUCACAGACUAUGAGGCUACACGUGGGGGAUUGGGAGCCACUGUGCAUUUUUCUUUUUUGGGGGGGCCUGCUUUCACUUGUAAUGAAUCAAACCAUUCAAGUUUUGAUCAAGGCUGUAAAUGGAGCAUAAUUACACAGAAUAUAUGCAUGAAAUUGCUUCAAUAUUGCAUAUGAACAGUAAUAAUCAAUUUCAUAAAAACAAUCUCACACUGUAGUACUAAGCUUAAAAUCCUAAACCCUGUAAAGGUAACUUAUUCAACUGCUUUAUCAUUUUUAAUUCAGUCUGCACAAAUAUUGACAUAAGCUUGCAAUAUUUGUACAUUCUUGCACUGGAAAUGAGCUUGGUUCACUUUGCUAAAAAAAAAAAAUCAUGAAAAACUGUAUUUAUAAUGUUGAAACUAUCAGAGUCGCUCUAGGUUUUACCUUAUUUUUAAAUAAGACAAUUGAAAGAGUAGGCCUAAAAAAUGCUGGAAAUACACAUCUUGAUGUAUUGCACAUAUUUUGACUAAAUCAGUGCCUAAGUGAAGGGACUCAGUUCCCAACACAGACACUCAAUCCCUGCAAAUAAAAGAAAAAAAGUCAACUAGGGAAUGGCACAGUGCAAUUAAAAAAAUAAUCAACAGAAAACAUAAGCAUGUAGUGGUUAAGGAAUGGGAUGAAGGCGAUUGUUGGAGAAUAAAACAUACACAGUAUGUGGCAGAGAAUAAUAGUAGCUUAUUGCUGAACAAGAAAGUUUUAUUUUACAGUCUAAAGAAAUCACAGAUUAAUAACAUGUCUUACAAGAACAGCCACAGCCAUGCUGGUUCAAUCUGUUUACAUCCUACAGUAGAUGUAGCUAUAGCAGAACAGCCAUUAGUGUUGCAGUGUCAGGUUUAAAGCCUGCUGCCAAAACAUUUGAGUUGUUUCUGUCGUCACUGUGCCCCUUUUAUGUGGCUUUAGGAAAACUCCUUGUUUUCAAAACAACUGUUAUGUAAUGAGAGCAUCCUUGGCUGCUGAUACACUGCAAGUUGGCUGUAGGUGAACUAUUGUUGUGUUGAUUACUUAAACCGGGGGAAAAAAACUGCCCACACUCAUCUGUACAGCUGUACACCAUAAUGUCCACUCACAUGUAAAGCUCAUGGGGAUGUUGCAUAAGUAGGUAGCAGAAAAACAACAUGACAUGCAACAUGAUUUAAUUUUAGUUGUAAGGGUACGUAUGAGUUUACUACACAUUACUGGCCGAAAAUAUUAUAUGGACACAUUGCUUUCACCAUAGUCAACACCCUGAACACAUCCAAAAGAUAGUAUGCCAACACUGAAAAACAAACUUCACCUUACAUUGUACAAUUCAGUGUACCAAAAAGAAAAAAAAAGAGAAGAAAAAUCCUAUUUUCAUAAUUUCAACAGCGUAUAAAUGCAAUAAUUCAGAUAGGACUCCUCAUUUAGCACAUGUGCUGUAGCAAGUUAAAUUACAGAAAUGAUGAUGUAAUAAUACUGUUGGUGAUGAUGAUGUAUGAUAUUCACGAUGGCAAUGACUGAGGUUACUGAUGCUGAUGGCGGUGGUGAUGGUCUUGUUGUUCAUGAUGAUUGUAAUGAUGAUAAUGAUGGUUAUGAUAUAUUUUUGAUAUAUUUCUAACAUAUUUCCCUUAGGCACCCUCCCCUCUGCCCUCAAAUUCCUAAAUGUAAAAAAUAAAGAGGAUGUAAUCUAAUCUUUAUUAAAGUCAGUGAACCAGC
Molecule: long non-coding RNA, 2272 nt
Organism: Scatophagus argus
Lineage: Eukaryota; Metazoa; Chordata; Actinopteri; Scatophagidae
Exons: 2
Source: RefSeq, a predicted model, not a curated record